RNAcentral lists this transfer RNA (76 nucleotides) under Planctomycetota bacterium. RNAcentral describes it as "Planctomycetes bacterium (activated sludge metagenome) tRNA-Glu". It matches the Rfam family "tRNA". Rfam says of the family: Transfer RNA (tRNA) molecules are approximately 80 nucleotides in length. Their secondary structure includes four short double-helical elements and three loops (D, anti-codon, and T loops). The record is from RNAcentral. Lineage: Bacteria; Pseudomonadati; Planctomycetota.
GCUCCCAUCGUCUAGAGGCCUAGGACAGCGGAUUCUCAGUCCGCGAACAACGGUUCAAAUCCGUUUGGGAGUACCA